AACGAACGCUGGCGGCAUGCCUAACACAUGCAAGUCGAACGAGACCUUCGGGUCUAGUGGCGCACGGGUGCGUAACGCGUGGGAACCUGCCCUUAGGUUCGGAAUAACUCCCCGAAAGGGGUGCUAAUACCGGAUAAUGUCUUCGGACCAAAGACUUAUCGCCUUUGGAUGGGCCCGCGUUGGAUUAGCUAGUUGGUAGGGUAAAAGCCUACCAAGGCGACGAUCCAUAGCUGGUCUGGGAGGAUGAUCAGCCACACUGGGACUGAGACACGGCCCAGACUCCUCCGGGAGGCAGCAGUGAGGAAUAUUGGACUAUGGGCGAAAGCCUGAUCCAGCAAUGCCGCGUGAGUGAUGAAGGCCUUAGGGUUGUAAAGCUCCUUUACCCGGGAUGAUAAUGACAGUACCGGGAGAAUAAGCCCCGGCUAACUCCGUG
Molecule: ribosomal RNA, 433 nt
Filed under: uncultured bacterium
Lineage: Bacteria
Description: partial 16S ribosomal RNA
Rfam family: Bacterial small subunit ribosomal RNA
Source: RNAcentral